GGAACGCUGGCGGCGUGCCUAAUACAUGCAAGUCGAGCGUACGAUUCAAAAGCUUGCUUUUGGAUCGUUAGCGGCGGACGGGUGAGUAACACGUGGGCAACCUGCCCUGUAGACGGGGAUAACACCGAGAAAUCGGUGCUAAUACCGGAUAACACGGAAGACCGCAUGGUUUUUCGUUGAAAGGCGGCGCAAGCUGUCGCUACAGGAUGGGCCCGCGGCGCAUUAGCUAGUUGGUGAGGUAACGGCUCACCAAGGCGACGAUGCGUAGCCGACCUGAGAGGGUGAUCGGCCACACUGGGACUGAGACACGGCCCAGACUCCUACGGGAGGCAGCAGUAGGGAAUCUUCCGCAAUGGACGAAAGUCUGACGGAGCAACGCCGCGUGAGCGAAGAAGGCCUUCGGGUCGUAAAGCUCUGUUGUUAGGGAAGAACAAGUACCGCAGCCACUGGCGGUACCUUGACGGUACCUAACGAGAAAGCCACGGCUAACUACGUGCCAGCAGCCGCGGUAAUACGUAGGUGGCAAGCGUUGUCCGGAAUUAUUGGGCGUAAAGCGCGCGCAGGCGGUUCCUUAAGUCUGAUGUGAGAGCCCACGGCUCAACCGUGGAGGGUCAUUGGAAACUGGGGGACUUGAGUGCAGAAGAGGAGAGCGGAAUUCCACGUGUAGCGGUGAAAUGCGUAGAGAUGUGGAGGAACACCAGUGGCGAAGGCGGCUCUCUGGUCUGUAACUGACGCUGAGGCGCGAAAGCGUGGGGAGCAAACAGGAUUAGAUACCCUGGUAGUCCACGCCGUAAACGAUGAGUGCUAAGUGUUAGAGGGUAUCCACCCUUUAGUG
Molecule: ribosomal RNA, 835 nt
Filed under: uncultured organism
Description: SSU rRNA
Rfam family: Bacterial small subunit ribosomal RNA
Source: RNAcentral